UGCCUCUAUGAAUGGUUGUUGCCCAGU
Molecule: non-coding RNA, 27 nt
Filed under: Rattus norvegicus (Norway rat)
Lineage: Eukaryota; Metazoa; Chordata; Mammalia; Rodentia; Muridae
Source: RNAcentral